This 429-nucleotide ribosomal RNA is filed under the name Fusobacteriota bacterium. RNAcentral's name for it is "Fusobacteria bacterium partial 16S ribosomal RNA". It matches the Rfam family "Bacterial small subunit ribosomal RNA", at positions 355 to 776 of the family's 1533-position model. Lineage: Bacteria; Fusobacteriati; Fusobacteriota. The record is from RNAcentral.
UGGGGAAUAUUGCACAAUGGGCGCAAGCCUGAUGCAGCCAUGCCGCGUGUAUGAAGAAGGCCUUCGGGUUGUAAAGUACUUUCAGCGGGGAGGAAGGGAGUAAAGUUAAUACCUUUGCUCAUUGACGUUACCCGCAGAAGAAGCACCGGCUAACUCCGUGCCAGCAGCCGCGGUAAUACGGAGGGUGCAAGCGUUAAUCGGAAUUACUGGGCGUAAAGCGCACGCAGGCGGUUUGUUAAGUCAGAUGUGAAAUCCCCGGGCUCAACCUGGGAACUGCAUCUGAUACUGGCAAGCUUGAGUCUCGUAGAGGGGGGUAGAAUUCCAGGUGUAGCGGUGAAAAGCGUAGAGAUCUGGAGGAAAACCGGUGGCGAAGGCGGCCCCCUGGACGAAGACUGACGCUCAGGUGCGAAAGCGUGGGGAGCAAACAGG